GAAGGUAUGGCCCUUCGGAGCCGCCCUGCGCUGGGUGGUUUCAAACCGCCUCGUGCUGCGUUGGUUGAAGACCGUCGUGGUGAGCGAUCGAUGGCAAAUUCGGCAAGAAGGU
Molecule: non-coding RNA, 112 nt
Organism: Arthrobacter alpinus
Lineage: Bacteria; Bacillati; Actinomycetota; Actinomycetes; Micrococcales; Micrococcaceae
Source: Rfam